This 433-nucleotide ribosomal RNA is filed under the name uncultured bacterium. RNAcentral describes it as "partial 16S ribosomal RNA". It matches the Rfam family "Bacterial small subunit ribosomal RNA", at positions 29 to 507 of the family's 1533-position model. The record is from RNAcentral.
AGCGAACGCUGGCGGCAGGCUUAACACAUGCAAGUCGAGCGGGCCCUUCGGGGUCAGCGGCAGACGGGUGAGUAACACGUGGGAACGUACCCUUUGGUUCGGAAUAACGCUGGGAAACUAGCGCUAAUACCGGAUACGCCCUUUUGGGGAAAGGCUUGCUGCCGAAGGAUCGGCCCGCGUCUGAUUAGCUAGUUGGUGGGGUAAUGGCCUACCAAGGCGACGAUCAGUAGCUGGUCUGAGAGGAUGAUCAGCCACACUGGGACUGAGACACGGCUCAGACUCCUACGGGAGGCAGCAGUGGGGAAUAUUGGACAAUGGGCGCAAGCCUGAUCCAGCCAUGCCGCGUGAGUGAUGAAGGCCUUAGGGUUGUAAAGCUCUUUUGUCCGGGACGAUAAUGACGGUACCGGAAGAAUAAGCCCCGGCUAACUUCGUG